GAUGAACGCUGGCGGCGUGCCUAAUACAUGCAAGUCGAGCGAACAGACGAGGAGCUUGCUCCUCUGACGUUAGCGGCGGACGGGUGAGUAACACGUGGAUAACCUACCUAUAAGACUGGGAUAACUUCGGGAAACCGGAGCUAAUACCGGAUAAUAUAUUGAACCGCAUGGUUCAAUAGUGAAAGACGGUUUUGCUGUCACUUAUAGAUGGAUCCGCGCCGCAUUAGCUAGUUGGUAAGGUAACGGCUUACCAAGGCAACGAUGCGUAGCCGACCUGAGAGGGUGAUCGGCCACACUGGAACUGAGACACGAUCCAGACUCCUACGGGAGGCAGCAGUAGGGGAUCUUCCGCAAUGGGCGAAAGCCUGACGGAGCAACGCCGCGUGAGUGAUGAAGGUCUUCGGAUCGUAAAACUCUGUUAUUAGGGAAGAACAAAUGUGUAAGUAACUAUGCACGUCUUGACGGUACCUAAUCAGAAAGCCACGGCUAACUACGUG
RNAcentral lists this ribosomal RNA (497 nucleotides) under uncultured bacterium. Its description in RNAcentral is "partial 16S ribosomal RNA". It matches the Rfam family "Bacterial small subunit ribosomal RNA", at positions 28 to 507 of the family's 1533-position model. The record is from RNAcentral.